GACGUAGGGUGCAAGCGUUGUCCGGAAUUAUUGGGCGUAAAGAGCUCGUAGGCGGUUUGUCGCGUCUGCUGUGAAAGCCCGGGGCUCAACUCCGGUUCUGCAGUGGGUACGGGCAGACUAGAGUGAUGUAGGGGAGACUGGAAUUCCUGGUGUAGCGGUGAAAUGCGCAGAUAUCAGGAGGAACACCGAUGGCGAAGGCAGGUCUCUGGGCAUUAACUGACGCUGAGGAGCGAAAGCAUGGGGAGCGAACAGG
This 253-nucleotide ribosomal RNA is filed under the name uncultured bacterium. RNAcentral describes it as "partial 16S ribosomal RNA". It matches the Rfam family "Bacterial small subunit ribosomal RNA", at positions 524 to 776 of the family's 1533-position model. The record is from RNAcentral.